This 359-nucleotide ribosomal RNA is filed under the name Bradypodion pumilum. Its description in RNAcentral is "partial 16S ribosomal RNA". It matches the Rfam family "Bacterial large subunit ribosomal RNA", at positions 1915 to 2505 of the family's 2925-position model. Lineage: Eukaryota; Metazoa; Chordata; Lepidosauria; Squamata; Chamaeleonidae. The record is from RNAcentral.
AAACUCUUAACGGCCGCGGCACUAAAACCGUGCAAAGGUAGCACAAUCACUUGUCCCUUAAAUGAGGACCCGUAUGAAAGGCAACAUGAGAGAAGACCUGUCUCCUAAGGCCAGCCAAUGAAACUGAACUACCAGUACAAAAGCUGGUAUCUGCAAGCAAGACAAAAAGACCCUAUGGAACUUUAACAAAUUAUUUACAAAACAUAAAUUAUAGUUUCAGUUGGGACAACUUUAGAGAAAAUUAACCUCUUAAUAAUAUACUUAGACCAACAAGUCUAAACCGACUCGACCCAGUCACACUGAUUAACGAAACAAGCUACCCUAGGGAUAACAGCGCUACCUUCUCAAAGAGUCCAUAU